Molecule: ribosomal RNA, 448 nt
Filed under: uncultured soil bacterium
Lineage: Bacteria
Description: bacterial SSU rRNA
Rfam family: Bacterial small subunit ribosomal RNA
Source: RNAcentral
AGAACGAACGCUGGCGGCAGGCUUAACACAUGCAAGUCGAACGGUUGUAGCAAUACAGCAGUGGCAGACGGGUGAGUAACACGUGGGAACCUUCCUAGGGGUACGGAACAACUCAGGGACACUUGAGCUAAUACCGUAUACGUCCGUGAGGAGAAAGUUUUAACGCCCCUAGACGGGCCCGCGUAGGAUUAGGUAGUUGGUGAGGUAACGGCUCACCAAGCCUACGAUCCUUAGCUGAUCUGAGAGGAUGAUCAGCCACACUGGGACUGAGACACGGCCCAGACUCCUACGGGAGCAGCAGUGGGAAUCGUUGGACAACGGGCGCAAGCCUGAUCCAGCCAUCGCGCGUGAGUAGAAGAAGGCCUUCGGGUUAGUAAGUCUCGUUUUAACCGAGGACGAUAAGUGACGGUACCGUAGGACGUAAGUAACGCCCCCGGUACAAACCGUU